GAUGAACGCUGGCGGCGUGCCUAAUACAUGCAAGUCGAGCGAACAGACGAGGAGCUUGCUCCUCUGACGUUAGCGGCGGACGGGUGAGUAACACGUGGAUAACCUACCUAUAAGACUGGGAUAACUUCGGGAAACCGGAGCUAAUACCGGAUAAUAUAUUGAACCGCAUGGUUCAAUAGUGAAAGACGGUUUUGCUGCCACUUAUAGAUGGAUCCGCGCCGCAUUAGCUAGUUGGUAAGGUAACGGCUUACUAAGGCAACGAUGCGUAGCCGACCUGAGAGGGUGAUCGGCCACACUGGAACUGAGACACGGUCCAGACUCCUACGGGAGGCAGCAGUAGGGAAUCUUCCGCAAUGGGCGAAAGCCUGACGGAGCAACGCCGCGUGAGUGAUGAAGGUCUUCGGAUCGUAAAACUCUGUUAUUAGGGAAGAACAAAUGUGUAAGUAACUAUGCACGUCUUGACGGUACCUAAUCAGAAAGCCACGGCUAACUACGUG
Molecule: ribosomal RNA, 497 nt
Filed under: uncultured bacterium
Lineage: Bacteria
Description: partial 16S ribosomal RNA
Rfam family: Bacterial small subunit ribosomal RNA
Source: RNAcentral